RNAcentral lists this ribosomal RNA (497 nucleotides) under uncultured bacterium. RNAcentral's name for it is "partial 16S ribosomal RNA". It matches the Rfam family "Bacterial small subunit ribosomal RNA", at positions 28 to 507 of the family's 1533-position model. The record is from RNAcentral.
GAUGAACGCUGGCGGCGUGCCUAAUACAUGCAAGUCGAGCGAACAGACGAGGAGCUUGCUCCUCUGACGUUAGCGGCGGACGGGUGAGUAACACGUGGAUAACCUACCUAUAAGACUGGGAUAACUUCGGGAAACCGGAGCUAAUACCGGAUCAUAUAUUGAACCGCAUGGUUCAAUAGUGGAAGACGGUUUUGCUGUCACUUAUAGAUGGAUCCGCGCCGCAUUAGCUAGUUGGUAAGGUAACGGCUUACCAAGGCAACGAUGCGUAGCCGACCUGAGAGGGUGAUCGGCCACACUGGAACUGAGACACGGUCCAGACUCCUACGGGAGGCAGCAGUAGGGAAUAUUCCGCAAUGGGCGAAAGCCUGACGGAGCAACGCCGCGUGAGUGAUGAAGGUCUUCGGAUCGUAAAACUCUGUUAUUAGGGAAGAACAAAUGUGUAAGUAACUAUGCACGUCUUGACGGUACCUAAUCAGAAAGCCACGGCUAACUACGUG